This 196-nucleotide ribosomal RNA is filed under the name uncultured bacterium. RNAcentral describes it as "partial 16S ribosomal RNA". It matches the Rfam family "Bacterial small subunit ribosomal RNA", at positions 1305 to 1500 of the family's 1533-position model. The record is from RNAcentral.
CUGCAACUCGCCUGCAUGAAGUCGGAAUUGCUAGUAAUCGUAGGUCAGCAUACUACGGUGAAUACGUUCCCGGGCCUUGUACACACCGCCCGUCAAACCAUGAGAGUUGGCAACACCCGAAGUCGGUAGUCUAACCGCAAGGAGGACGCCGCCGAAGGUGGGGUUGAUGAUUAGGGUUAAGUCGUAACAAGGUAAC